GAUGAACGCUGGCGGCGUGCCUAAUACAUGCAAGUCGAGCGAACAGACGAGGAGCUUGCUCCUCUGACGUUAGCGGCGGACGGGUGAGUAACACGUGGAUAACCUACCUAUAAGACUGGGAUAACUUCGGGAAACCGGAGCUAAUACCGGAUAACAUGUUGAACCGCAUGGUUCAACAGUGAAAGACGGUCUUGCUGUCACUUAUAGAUGGAUCCGCGCCGCAUUAGCUAGUUGGUAAGGUAACGGCUUACCAAGGCAACGAUGCGUAGCCGACCUGAGAGGGUGAGCGGCCACACUGGAACUGAGACACGGGCCAGACUCCGACGGGAGGCAGCAGUAGGGAAUCUUCCGCAAUGGGCGAAAUCCUGACGGAGCAACGCCGCGUGAGUGAAGAAGGUCUUCGGAUCGUAAAACUCUGUUAUUAGGGAAGAACAAAUGUGUAAGUAACUAUGCACGUCUUGACGGUACCUAAUCAGAAAGCCACGGCUAACUACGUG
RNAcentral lists this ribosomal RNA (497 nucleotides) under uncultured bacterium. RNAcentral describes it as "partial 16S ribosomal RNA". It matches the Rfam family "Bacterial small subunit ribosomal RNA", at positions 28 to 507 of the family's 1533-position model. The record is from RNAcentral.